RNAcentral lists this ribosomal RNA (570 nucleotides) under uncultured Ascomycota. Its description in RNAcentral is "eukaryotic LSU rRNA". The stretch from base 203 to 356 matches the Rfam family "5.8S ribosomal RNA". Lineage: Eukaryota; Fungi; Ascomycota. The record is from RNAcentral.
CUUGGUCAUUUAGAGGAAGUAAAAGUCGUAACAAGGUCUCCGUUGGUGAACCAGCGGAGGGAUCAUUACGGAGUUGCAAAACUCCCAACCCUUUGUGAACGAACCUACCAGUUGCCUCGGCGGCGAGCCUUUCAGGCGGACCGCCGAAGGAAUACAAACUCUUUGCAUUAUAGUAUCUCUGAUUACUUAUUCAAUAAGUUAAAACUUUCAACAACGGAUCUCUUGGUUCUGGCAUCGAUGAAGAACGCAGCGAAAUGCGAUAAGUAAUGUGAAUUGCAGAAUUCAGUGAAUCAUCGAAUCUUUGAACGCACAUUGCGCCCGCUAGUAUUCUGGCGGGCAUGCCUGUUCGAGCGUCAUUUCAACCAUCAAGCCCUAGGCUUGUGUUGGAGCCCUGCGGCUGCCGCAGCCUCCUAAAAACAGUGGCGGGCUCGCUAUCACACCGAGUGCAGUAGUUUACUCUUCGCUCAGGGCGUGUGGCGGGUGCUGGCCGUGAAACCCCCUACUUCUUAAGGUUGACCUCGGAUCAGGUAGGAAUACCCGCUGAACUUAAGCAUAUCAAUAAGCGGAGGA